This 216-nucleotide ribosomal RNA is filed under the name Glomeromycotina sp. RNAcentral's name for it is "partial small subunit ribosomal RNA". The stretch from base 40 to 216 matches the Rfam family "Eukaryotic small subunit ribosomal RNA", at positions 686 to 864 of the family's 1831-position model. The record is from RNAcentral. Lineage: Eukaryota; Fungi; Glomeromycota.
GGGUCAGUAGGUUGGUCGUGCCACCGGUACGUACUGGUCUCACUGAUUCCUCCUUCCUGAAGAACCGUAAUGCCAUUAAUUUGGUGUUGCGGGGAAACAGGACUGUUACUUUGAAAAAAUUAGGGUGUUUAAAGUAAGCUAACGCUUGAAUACAUUAGCAUGGAAUAAUGAAAUAGGACGAUCGAUCCUAUUUUGUUGGUUACUAGGAUUGACGUA